GACGAACCGUGCGAACGUUGUUCGGAAUCACUGGGCUUAAAGGGCGCGUAGGCGGCCGAGCGGGUCGUGGGUGAAAUCCCCCAGCUUAACUGGGGAAGUGCUUACGAUACCACUGCGGCUGGAGGAAGGCAGGGGCACUUGGAACUGUCGGUGGAGCGGUGAAAUGCGUUGAUAUCGACAGGAACGCCGGUGGCGAAAGCGGAGUGCUGGUCCUUUUCUGACGCUGAGGCGCGAAAGCCAGGGGAGCAAACGGGAUUAGAUACCCCGGUAGUCCUGGCCUUAAACGAUGAGAACUAGGUAGUGGGCUCGACCUGGGCACACUGCCGCAGUGAAAAUCCUAAGUUCUCCGCCUGGGGAGUAUGGUCGCAAGGCUGAA
RNAcentral lists this ribosomal RNA (376 nucleotides) under uncultured bacterium. RNAcentral's name for it is "bacterial SSU rRNA". It matches the Rfam family "Bacterial small subunit ribosomal RNA", at positions 524 to 898 of the family's 1533-position model. The record is from RNAcentral.